This is a non-coding RNA of Petromyzon marinus (sea lamprey), 7515 nucleotides long. The record is from RefSeq and is a predicted model, not a curated record. Lineage: Eukaryota; Metazoa; Chordata; Hyperoartia; Petromyzontiformes; Petromyzontidae.
GAGAGAGGCGGGGUGUAUGUGUGUGUGUGCGUUCUCGUUUGGCCCGGAAGAAUGAGUAACCAGGGGCAACUGUGGCAAGCGGCGUUUUUUUCUCUUCUGAGGUUGUCGCGUCUCGCGAACUUUGCGCACAACGCCACCCACCCACCCAACCAUCCCAUAGAGAGCAAAGAAAAAGCGGUCCCCGAUGACAGCGACGAGCAACUGGUGGACUCGGACGAGGCCGCACUGAGUUUUAGCAGUCUCGUGGCUGUGUGUGUGUGUGGUUUUUUUUUCCGUGUGACAUUGUUUUAAAAUCAUCGAUUAGGCGGAUCUGGACGCCAGUGGCACUCUCCCGUCAGCCUCUGUUGACUCGGCUCUGAGUUGCGCGUUCUUCACAGGCACAGCGGGUGCAAUGGAUGACGCGGGGGCGACGGACGGCAGCGACUUGGGAAUGAACGACACGGACGAACUCCUGGAUGCAGGGCUGGACGUGGGGACACCCCGGGGAGUGAUGAAGGAUCAGUGCGACCUCCUGCUGGACUCCAUCGACGCUGUGCUGCGGGGCCUGCAGAGUGGAAGCCCAAACAAGAAGGAGGAGGAGGAGACGGCAGUGCAGACGCAGAAGACGAGCUUCGACUCGGCAGAGACGGCAGGCAGCGCCGGCCAGAGUGACACGGGGAGCCGCGACACGGGCCUGGGGGGUGGGGGCAGCACCCCAGACGACACGCUGACCUCUGACCCCGACAGAGCUGGCACCCGGAGCAAAGGACAAAUAGAGAUUGUGGAAGUGGGUGAAGAGCGGUAUGCAGGCUGCAAGCGGGCUUGUGAUUCUGCAGCUUUUUCCCAAAUGUGGGCCCAAACAGGGGAGGCGGUGGCAGGAAUACAGGACCCAGUGCGGGCCGCCCGGACCGAGGAGUACACAUGGAGGGUGCAGCAGCUGCUGGGAAUUCCCAACAGACAGGCGGACGGUGGCGCCGGCGCCGUCUCACGCUCGCCCUCGCCGUCCCUGCAAGACGGUGCUCACAGCGAUGGCCCCUACGCCUCCUCGGUUUGCACGGAGGAGCUGAUCCGGCCCCGUGGAGGCGCUCGAUCCUCGGCCGUGCCCGUCGGAGACGAGCUCGCCGAGCCACCGCCGGAUUCGGGGGCGGCCGCGGACUCGGGCGACGUCCGUCGCCGCGACAUCUCGCGUCGGAGUAGAGACGGAGAGAUGAGCGCGUCACGGGCCGACGCUCGCAGGGGCAUGACGUUUGUUGAGAAGUUCAGGCACGACCUCGCGAGCGAUCUCGAGGAGGUGAUCGUUCGUGAGAGGGAAGGUAUGACGAAGCAGAGCUCCCCCGCUAUUGUGAAAGAGAAGGGCUCGUCCCAAGCGGCGGGAGUAAAACUGCCUGACGAUUAUCACCCGGAGAGAAGGAACUCGCUGGGAAGCCAGAUUCGGGCCAAAAGCCGCAGCAACCUCUCCUCGUCGGAGGCUCCUGGUCCUCCCGUUGAAUCGAGCAGUGACGGGCGGUGGAGUUCGCAGACUGCCGUGAGCAACCUCUCCACGGUGGAGAUGCACAGCAAAGAGGGCAGCGAAGAUGCGCAGCAUUUUUCAAAAUCGCCAGAAGGUUUGACGGCUGGCAGCCGAUGCACGCCUCUGAUGGUAAAUGCGCCGGUUUCUUCCCCGAAUCGAAACAGAGACAAAGACAGCAGUAUGUUAGCAUCUACAAAUCCACACGCCACGCCCACGAUUCCAUCCGCCAUGCACGAUGCGGUGAGUGGCACGAAGCCGACCGGCCACAGCUUCGCCAUGGACCAGCAGGGCCGACACGGCCUUACUGGCAGAGGCAGCACUCCCAUGCCGAACCUUCCCUCCCCGACUGCCAGAACAAAAUUGGGCCAGCUCACCGACACUCGACUUGAGGUCACGGCCUCUUCUUCGCCAUCCCAAAAGGAGCCGGAUUUCUCGCGCAUCCUUUCUGGCGUCGCCGGCUGUGGCAGGGGCCCACCGAGCCGGGCGUCUGCUCCGUGGGAGGAUGGUGCUCAGGGAGGCCGGCCCGGAUUUGGCGAGCGUCGGACGACGGCGAUGGCUGCCGAGAAAACGUCGGUGCCGGGGGCUUCCUGGGAGAGCUGGGAGGCCCAGUUGUCUCGUGGGAGCGACAAGGAGAUGGCCGGUAGCCUGCCCCGCAUGCUCGCUGGAGUUCCCUUGCGCAGCUUCGACGAAGUGACGGUGGAGAGCGACCUGGAGUCUGUCCGCACCGAGCACGUGCGCUCCCUCUUCAGUCACGCCCUGCACAGGGACGGUGACGAGCGCGGGGAGGUCUCGACGAACGACGAGCUGUCCUCGGACGACAGCGGGGGGCCCUCCCUGCUGGACGGCAGCUUCCUGGAGAGGCGCGGGGGGCCGCCAGGGACGGGGCGGAGCGAAACCCCGGGCCCGAGACGUCGUCCGAGCGGCGCGGUCCCUUGGAGCGGCCUCGCCGAGAGCAGGUCAGGUCUGGUCGGCCGGCAAGAAGCGGCAGCAGCGGCGACGCGGGCAGACCCAGCAGCUCGGACGACCCCGGCAAGCGGAAGCGCACAGACGUUCGCCUCACCGCGCCUCCCGCAUGCGCUGCCAGCGGCUGCCCCCGGCACCGUUGCCGCCAGGGACAGGUCCCCUGGCCAGGAGCGAGACGUGGAGCGGCUGGGGAGGAGCCGGAGGGAGACGGCGCUGGAGAGCGUGCUCGCGGACCGGCUGCUGGCCUCGACGCAGAGCAAGGAGCGGGCGCUGCGCUUGGAGGCGGAGCUCGAUUCCAAGGGCAAGGAGCUGAGGGCCCAGAGGGAGGAGCAAACAAGGCUGGAGGUGGAGAUGAGGGCGAAGGGAGAGAACCUCAGGGCACAGAGGGAAGAUCACGCCCGGCUCGAGGUGGAGCUGGCGAGGGCCAAAGAGGAGCAGGGCAGGUUGAGAUCAGAGCUCGGCGCGCUGAGAGACGAGAACAAGGUGAUUGGCGUGGAGCUACAAGACAGGGGAGCGGUGAUCCAGGAGAAGGAGGUGGAGCUGCAGGACAAGAGGACGGAGCUGCAGGCGAAGGCGGAUGAGCUUGCGCGCGCGCAGCUGCAGCAGGGGAGGGAGACCGCAGCGGUGCGGAGGUGGGCGGAAUCAGAGGUGAAGAGGGUGUCGGAGGAGUCGAGGGACAAGGACGCUGUCCUGGCUCGCCUGCAGGCUGAGCUGACGAUGCUGCGCGCACAACAGGAGAGGGAGCUGGAGGAGAGGGAGAGGGAGCUGGCCAGGACACGAGCGGCGCACGCCAGGGAGGUGGAGCGGCUGAGGGAGGACGAGGUGAGGCGCCUCGCUGGCACCGUGGAGAGCCUCGCCCUGGAGAAGGAGGGAGCUCUAAAGAAGCAAAGAGAUGAACUCGUGAGGCUGAAAACCGAGGAGCUGGAGCAGCUGUCGGAGCGGCUGGAGGAGGAGAGGAGCCGAGCGUUGGCGGACCUCGCCGAUCGCCACACGGCAGAGUUCGUGCACUGCGCGCAAACCGUGAAGGCGAGGGAGGAGGAGGUGUGCCAGCUGAGGGCUGCCCUCAGGGAGCAGGAGGCUGCUGCCCUCAAACUGAGUGCUCGGCUCAGAGAGGAAGCCACUGAGAUGGCGCAGCGAGCGGUUGGCACGGAGCGCGCCGCUUGGGAGAUGGAGCGGCAACGGGAGCGGGUGGCGCGGCAGGAGGAGGGGGCGAUGGCCGUGCGAGCCCUCGCGCUGGACCUGGAGUCUGAGCGACAGGCGACGCGUGGAUUGCGGGAGGUGACUUCGCAGCUGACCCAGGAGGUGGAGGAGCUGCGGACCCAGGCACGGCAGUUGCAGGCCGAGCGGCUGUCGGCUGUGUGCGCCGUGGAGCAGUCAUGCCGGCACGAGCGGCAAGAGGCCCUGCAGGCCCUGCGCGCCCACCUGCAGGCCGAGAAGGAGCGCGAAGUCGAAAUGCUCACAGCCAAGGGGGCGGCGUUGGAGCAGGAGCUGCUUGCCGCGCAGGCGGCGAGGAAGAGGCUGCAGAAGGAAGUCCAGGCCGAGAAGCAUCGCCUCCUGAGAGGCCUCCAGGAGACGAUCGCGAAGCAGCAGUGGGCGCAAGACGAGCUGCAGGCUGCGGAGCAGAGCAAGCGGCAGGCGGAGAGGGAAUGGGGCGGCGAGAAGCUCCAGCUGGAGAAGAGGAUCCACGCGAGAGACUCGGAGCUGCACAGAGCGGAGAAGGAGCUACGCGCGCUGAGCGCGGAGGCGUCGGCGAAGGAGAAGGCGGGGGACGAGGAGCGCCAGAGGCUCGUGGCGGAGCUGCAGGAAGCGCAGGUGAAAAACCAGAGGCUGGAGAAGAGGCUCAACGACAAGGUGCUUGGCGCGCAGAGAAUGGAGGAGGAACUCAACGAGAGGGACAGAGAAUGUCAGAAGACGAUGGCGGACCUGCAGGCAUCCGGCCUGGAGAUGCAGAGGAUGCAGAAGGAUCUGCGGGAGCGAGACACGGAGAGGCAGAGGAUCGAGAUGGAGCUUCACCAAAAGGAGAUCGCCUUGCUGAGGCAAGAGAAAGAGCUUCGCCAGAGGGACAUUGAGAAACAGACGUGGGAGGAGAGCCUGCACUCGGCCCAACAGGAGGUACAGAGGCUGAGACAGGAGCUCAAAAACGGAGAGAGUGAGAGGCUGCGUUUGCAGGUGGAGCUUCGCGAGGGAGAGACGGAGAGCCAGAGGCUGGGAGCAGAGUUGCGUGCGUUGAGCUCCGAGUUUGCGGACAGACAGAGCGAGAUGAGCGAGCAGGCUGAGCGGCAGGAUCAAAGUCUGGCGACCGAGCUCGCUUCUGAGAUCGAGAAGAUUCAAGAGCUGAUAGAGAGCACAGGCAGCAGGAGCGUUCCCAGGAGCCCUGCCAAAGCCACACACAGCGGGGCGCGGCUGCCCGCGGGCCAGGCGCUGCAGGGCCUGCGCGAGGUGGGGGACGACCUGCGGCACCACGUGCUGCAACUGCAGCAGCAGCUGAGCGACCGCACGCGGCAGGCGCAGCAGCUGCAAGUCGCCAAGGAGAAGGAGCUGAAUGAGGUGAGGGAGCGACUGGAGCGGGAAAAGGCAGCCGCCGUGGAGGAGGUCAAGGAGAGGUUGAUUCAGGAUCACAACGAAGAGCUGCACAUUCUCAAAAUCUCCAGCAUCCAGGGCCCGCAUCAGCAGCGCGAUCUGAGCUGGCGAGGCGCUCCACCAAAGUACGCAGCUCGGGAGAACAGCGGCAGCGCUGGGCACCCGUGCGGCCAACGACGUGACGGCUUCGACCUUGAGGCUUUUUCCAGGGAGGGCCUCGAGCGGGAUGGUGAAAACGGCUACACGGUGGGCCAGGGCGGCUCGUGUGAGCUCCAGAACGAGGUGCGCCAGCUGCGAGAGCAGAUGCGCGAGAAAGACAGCGAGCUGCGCUCUGUCCAGCGCGGGAUGCGGCAGUGGAAAGAAAGCACGGCCGGCAAGCUGGCGCGCAAGUUCCAGGAGGAGCUGCACGCGGAGCUACUGCGGCGAAGCAAUCACCAGGAACAUUACACAAUGGACAGCUCCCGGACAGCACACAUUGAAUGCAGCGCAUUGCCACGACGGCACCGCUCCUCCUCCGUGCCGGCUCGAGCUGCCCUUGCGGACACGGGCGAUGGCAUGGGGUUGGCGGGGCCCGACACGGGCAACGGCGACAUAGGGGGCAGCGACGCGGGCAUGGGGCACAGCGCUGGAACCCUGCGCCUCCUCCACCACCUCCACGGCAAAAUCCGGCAACUCAAGGUGACCGCACCGACUGGCGGCGGGGGGGCCCUACGGCAGAGCCCUCAAUGAUAGAGCUUCCGCGCACUUCGGGGAACCAGGAUCCAGAAGGUUUUCCGCGCGAACCUCGAGCCUUGAGGAGCUCACAAAGCCACUCCACGGCAGCCCUCCGGCACGGCGCACAGCAGAGACUGCGGAGACUUCUGCGGGCGCACAGAGGGUGCCCGUGCGUGCUCGACACGGGCCCUACACGCUCUCCUGACACGGGCUCCCCUGUGAAACGUGCUGGCAGCAAUAGCAGCAGCAGCAGCAGCUAAAAUCAGAAGUGUUGCUGUAAUCGGGAGCACGGCUGUCAAUGUUUGCUCCCCCGGCUCGCAAGCCGCAGUGAAAAGGGAGGUCUUUAUGCAUUUCAGGUGAAGAAAAAAAACACAUACAUAGCAACGUCUCAUUGCUCACAACCAGACUUUAAUUGCUUGUUUCUUAAACAAAAAAAACCUAUUUUACCGCACACCACCCCCCCCCCCCGUCUUUGAUUAAGGCAGCAAGAUUAUGUUUUUUUUUAUUUUCCCAAGUGGAGGUAGGGUCUGCGGGCUGUAGGGCAGUUCAUGGAUAUGAACACCUUGUCAAAAAAAAUGAAUCGGCUGUCUAUCGAGAAUAGAAGGUUUUUUUUUGGAUUGAGGGAACCGGGUUAAAAAUAGAUUUUGUUCCAUGAAUCAAAAAAACCGGGUCCUCUGUCCAGCAGAGGGUGCUUUGCUGCUGAUUUGCGGGUUUGCGUGCCUUUUGUGUUGUUAGCGUUCGUGUGUGCAUCAGCAAAGUGACUGACCGUCCUUUCCCUCUGAAAUUUGGCAAAAAAAAACCCCAAUAUAUACCACCGACUGUUAGCAUUAAACAUUCCACGCUUAUAUAAUAAACAAUUGCGGCGUUAAGCUGUAAAGGAAACUGAUAACGCUGGAAUGAGCUCAGCACCCAAGGCGCGGUUUGCCAAAGUUGGAGGGAAAUUAAAUCCGGAAACAGGAACCCUGUUUGUCUGGAAACGGGCCGAUGAGUCACAGUAAGGCCUAGUCACCAGUGGUCUCUGCUAAGCAUUCACUUGCAUUGCCUUUGGUCUUGCAGUGUGCUCUCCAUUUUAAUGUUUUGUUUUUUUAAUACAUAGUUUCUGUUGGCAUUUCACAAUGUGUGGAAGUUGCUUGUGUGCAACGUACAGUGUACCUCUUUUGAAUCUCGUUGGUAUUAUCUGAUGUGCCAUUAAGUGUGGUGUGUUAAUUAUUGAAAGCGAAUGGAGUUUUUUUUUAAAUUCAAAUUUACUAUAAUUUGUUGAUGCAGUUUAACCAUUUUAUAUAUUCAUAAUUAGAUUGCUGUGGUUAUUUAAAAAAAUAUAAAGGUAUGUGUUUCUUAAUGCAUUGCUUUACAUAAAAAGACAUGGUCACAUAUUGCUAUCAUAUAUAUUUUAACUACAAUAUAAACUAAAACAUUUGCAAUCCCUGCAAAUCUUUGAAAUAACAGCAACAACCGCCGUUUAUCACCGAGUGUGAGCCAGGCUAGGUUCACAGUGAGACCACGUGGAGCGUGGAAGGUUCUCUGCUGGGACAGACACCAGGUGUUGUUAUGGGUUAACUGAAUGGUAAAUGCCAACUCCUGCACACUCUACAGAAGUGUGACAACUAGCUGUUUUAUCAGCCUGUUCAUGUAAUGAUUCCUUGCAUAACUGACGCUAUGUGCGCUAUAAACGUUGUACUGUCGAUUGUAAGGUUGCAAAGAUUAGAAGACCACUGGCACGCUUAUCUCGAGUGAACUGGACGCCCAGGGUAAUUAUUGGUUACUCUUCA